ACCACUAAGCCAGUGGUGAACUCCACAUACGCAUCCUUUGCUGAGGAUACGGUUAACGGAGCGAAAGCGACGUUCAACCGCAAAACAAGCAGAGGGGGCUUAGUGGUGGGGUGACUGCGUACCUUUUGUAUAAUGGGUCAGCGACUUAUAUUCUGUAGCAAGGUUAACCGUAUAGGGGAGCCGGAGGGAAACCGAGUCUUAACCGGGCGUUAAGUUGCAGGGUAUAGACCCGAAACCCGGUGAUCUAGCCAUGGGCAGGUUGAAGGUUGGGUAACACUAACUGGAGGACCGAACCGACUAAUGUUGAAAAAUUAGCGGAUGACCUGUGGCUGGGGGUGAAAGGCCAAUCAAACCGGGAGAUAGCUGGUUCUCCCCGAAAGCUAUUUAGGUAGCGCCUCGUGAAUUCAUCUCCGGGGGUAGAGCACUGUUUCGGCUAGGGGGCCAUCCCGGCUUACCAACCCGAUGCAAACUGCGAAUACCGGAGAAUGUUAUCACGGGAGACACACGGCGGGUGCUAACGUCCGUCGUGAAGAGGGAAACAACCCAGACCGCCAGCUAAGGUCCCAAAGUCAUGGUUAAGUGGGAAACGAUGUGGGAAGGCCCAGACAGCCAGGAUGUUGGCUUAGAAGCAGCCAUCAUUUAAAGAAAGCGUAAUAGCUCACUGGUCGAGUCGGCCUGCGCGGAAGAUGUAACGGGGCUAAACCAUGCACCGAAGCUGCGGCAGCGACACUCAGGUGUUGUUGGGUAGGGGAGCGUUCUGUAAGCCUGUGAAGGUGUGUCGUGAGGCAUGCUGGAGGUAUCAGAAGUGCGAAUGCUGACAUAAGUAACGAUAAAGCGGGUGAAAAGCCCGCUCGCCGGAAGACCAAGGGUUCCUGUCCAACGUUAAUCGGGGCAGGGUGAGUCGACCCCUAAGGCGAGGCCGAAAGGCGUAGUCGAUGGGAAACGGGUUAAUAUUCCCGUACUUGGUGUUACUGCGAAGGGGGGACGGAGAAGGCUAUGUUGGCCGGGCGACGGUUGUCCCGGUUUAAGCGUGUAGGUGUGUGUUCCAGGUAAAUCCGGUUCACUUUAACACUGAGGCGUGAUGACGAGGCACUACGGUGCUGAAGCAACAAAUGCCCUGCUUCCAGGAAAAGCCUCUAAGCAUCAGGUAACAUCAAAUCGUACCCCAAACCGACACAGGUGGUCAGGUAGAGAAUACCAAGGCGCUUGAGAGAACUCGGGUGAAGGAACUAGGCAAAAUGGUGCCGUAACUUCGGGAGAAGGCACGCUGACACGUAGGUGAAGUGAUUUACUCAUGGAGCUGAAGUCAGUCGAAGAUACCAGCUGGCUGCAACUGUUUAUUAAAAACACAGCACUGUGCAAACACGAAAGUGGACGUAUACGGUGUGACGCCUGCCCGGUGCCGGAAGGUUAAUUGAUGGGGUCAGCGCAAGCGAAGCUCCUGAUCGAAGCCCCGGUAAACGGCGGCCGUAACUAUAACGGUCCUAAGGUAGCGAAAUUCCUUGUCGGGUAAGUUCCGACCUGCACGAAUGGCGUAAUGAUGGCCAGGCUGUCUCCACCCGAGACUCAGUGAAAUUGAACUCGCUGUGAAGAUGCAGUGUACCCGCGGCAAGACGGAAAGACCCCGUGAACCUUUACUAUAGCUUGACACUGAACAUUGAGCCUUGAUGUGUAGGAUAGGUGGGAGGCUUUGAAGCGUGGACGCCAGUCUGCGUGGAGCCGACCUUGAAAUACCACCCUUUAAUGUUUGAUGUUCUAACGUGGACCCGUGAUCCGGGUUGCGGACAGUGUCUGGUGGGUAGUUUGACUGGGGCGGUCUCCUCCUAAAGAGUAACGGAGGAGCACGAAGGUUGGCUAAUCCUGGUCGGACAUCAGGAGGUUAGUGCAAUGGCAUAAGCCAGCUUGACUGCGAGCGUGACGGCGCGAGCAGGUGCGAAAGCAGGUCAUAGUGAUCCGGUGGUUCUGAAUGGAAGGGCCAUCGCUCAACGGAUAAAAGGUACUCCGGGGAUAACAGGCUGAUACCGCCCAAGAGUUCAUAUCGACGGCGGUGUUUGGCACCUCGAUGUCGGCUCAUCACAUCCUGGGGCUGAAGUAGGUCCCAAGGGUAUGGCUGUUCGCCAUUUAAAGUGGUACGCGAGCUGGGUUUAGAACGUCGUGAGACAGUUCGGUCCCUAUCUGCCGUGGGCGCUGGAGAACUGAGGGGGGCUGCUCCUAGUACGAGAGGACCGGAGUGGACGCAUCACUGGUGUUCGGGUUGUCAUGCCAAUGGCACUGCCCGGUAGCUAAAUGCGGAAGAGAUAAGUGCUGAAAGCAUCUAAGCACGAAACUUGCCCCGA
RNAcentral lists this ribosomal RNA (2336 nucleotides) under Salmonella enterica subsp. enterica serovar Thompson. RNAcentral describes it as "partial 23S ribosomal RNA". It matches the Rfam family "Bacterial large subunit ribosomal RNA". Lineage: Bacteria; Pseudomonadati; Pseudomonadota; Gammaproteobacteria; Enterobacterales; Enterobacteriaceae. The record is from RNAcentral.